This is a non-coding RNA of Caenorhabditis elegans, 212 nucleotides long. The record is from Ensembl. NCBI's taxonomy places the organism in Eukaryota, Metazoa, Nematoda, Chromadorea, Rhabditida, Rhabditidae.
UUUUUGGAAGAGUAAGGCAUAAAAAUAAAAAUAAAGCGGAAUGAACAGACGCCUUCUGUUUCUAUGUUCAUACUGAAUUUCUAUACUGGUUUAAGCACCCACUUUUCUACUUUUUAUGAGUUGAUUCUGGAUGAAGAGUGACGCGGACACAAAAACUGGAGCACACAUGCACUUUUCCAUGCAGCCUUCGUUUUCCCGCCAAACGUUUCCCA